GAGUUUGAUCGUGGCUCAGGAUGAACGCUGGCGGCGUGCCUAAUACAUGCAAGCCGAGCGAACGGACGAGAAGCUUGCUUCUCUGAUGUUAGCGGCGGACGGGUGAGUAACACGUGGAUAACCUACCUAUAAGACUGGGAUAACUUCGGGAAACCGGAGCUAAUACCGGAUGAUAUUUUGAACCGCAUGGUUCAAAAGUGAAAGACGGUCUUGCUGUCACUUAUAGAUGGAUCCGCGCUGCAUUAGCUAGUUGGUAAGGUAACGGCUUACCAAGGCAACGAUGCAUAGCCGACCUGAGAGGGUGAUCGGCCACACUGGAACUGAGACACGGUCCAGACUCCUACGGGAGGCAGCAGUAGGGAAUCUUCCGCAAUGGGCGAAAGCCUGACGGAGCAACGCCGCGUGAGUGAUGAAGGUCUUCGGAUCGUAAAACUCUGUUAUUAGGGAAGAACAUAUGUGUAAGUAACUGUGCACAUCUUGACGGUACCUAAUCAGAAAGCCACGGCUAACU
This 511-nucleotide ribosomal RNA is filed under the name uncultured microorganism. RNAcentral's name for it is "bacterial SSU rRNA". It matches the Rfam family "Bacterial small subunit ribosomal RNA", at positions 9 to 502 of the family's 1533-position model. The record is from RNAcentral.